This 496-nucleotide ribosomal RNA is filed under the name uncultured bacterium. RNAcentral describes it as "partial 16S ribosomal RNA". It matches the Rfam family "Bacterial small subunit ribosomal RNA", at positions 29 to 507 of the family's 1533-position model. The record is from RNAcentral.
ACGAACGCUGGCGGCGUGCCUAAUACAUGCCAGUAGAACGCUGAAGAGAGGAGCUUGCUCUUCUUGGAUGAGUUGCGAACGGGUUAGUAACGCGUAGGUAACCUGCCUUGUAGCGGGGGAUAACUAUUGGAAACGAUAGCUAAUACCGCAUAACAAUGGAUGACACAUGUCAUUUAUUUGAAAGGGGCAAUUGCUCCACUACAAGAUGGACCUGCGUUGUAUUAGCUAGUAGGUGAGGUAAUGGCUCACCUAGGCGACGAUACAUAGCCGACCUGAGAGGGUGAUCGGCCACACUGGGACUGAGACACGGCCCAGACUCCUACGGGAGGCAGCAGUAGGGAAUCUUCGGCAAUGGGGGCAACCCUGACCGAGCAACGCCGCGGGAGGGAAGAAGGUUUUCGGAUCGUAAAGUUCUGUUGUAAGUCAAGAACGGGUGUGAGAGUGGAAAGUUCACACUGUGACGGUAGCUUACCAGAAAGGGACGGCUAACUACGUG